This 517-nucleotide ribosomal RNA is filed under the name uncultured bacterium. RNAcentral's name for it is "partial 16S ribosomal RNA". It matches the Rfam family "Bacterial small subunit ribosomal RNA", at positions 29 to 523 of the family's 1533-position model. The record is from RNAcentral.
AACGAACGCUGGCGGCGUGGAUAAGACAUGCAAGUCGAACGGGAUUUUUUUCUGUAGCAAUACAGGAAUAAGUCUAGUGGCGAACGGGUGCGUAACACGUGAGCAACCUGCCGUGAAGUGGGGGAUAGCUCGCCGAAAGGCGAACUAAUACCGCAUGUGGCCAAGGAAGACAUCUUCCUGACGCCAAAGCCGGGGCAACCUGGCGCUUCUCGAGGGGCUCGCGGCCUAUCAGCUUGUUGGUGAGGUAACGGCUCACCAAGGCUAUGACGGGUAGCUGGUCUGAGAGGACGACCAGCCACACUGGAACUGAGACACGGUCCAGACACCUACGGGUGGCAGCAGUCGAGAAUUUUUCACAAUGGGGGAAACCCUGAUGGAGCGACGCCGCGUGGAGGAUGAAGGUUUUCGGAUUGUAAACUCCUGUCAUUAGAGAACAAGGCACACGGUUUAACCGGCCGUGUGUUGAUAGUAUCUGAAGAGGAAGAGACGGCUAACCCUGUGCCAGCCGCCGCGGUAA